CCUACGGGGGGCAGCAGUGAGGAAUAUUGGUCAAUGGGCGAGAGCCUGAACCAGCCAAGUCGCGUGAAGGAUGACGGCCCUACGGGUUGUAAACUUCUUUUGUCAGGGAGCAAUUUGGUCCACGCGUGGGCUUAGCGAGAGUACCUGAAGAAAAAGCAUCGGCUAACUCCGUGCCAGCAGCCGCGGUAAUACGGAGGAUGCGAGCGUUAUCCGGAUUUAUUGGGUUUAAAGGGUGCGUAGGCGGAAUAUCAAGUCAGCGGUAAAAAUUCGGGGCUCAACCCCGUCGUGCCGUUGAAACUGAUGGUCUUGAGUGGGCGAGAGGUAGGCGGAAUGCGUGGUGUAGCGGUGAAAUGCAUAGAUAUCACGCAGAACUCCGAUUGCGAAGGCAGCAUACCGGCGCCCAACUGACGCUGAAGCACGAAAGCGUGGGUAUCGAACAGGAUUAGAUACCCUGGUAGUC
Molecule: ribosomal RNA, 460 nt
Filed under: uncultured bacterium
Lineage: Bacteria
Description: partial 16S ribosomal RNA
Rfam family: Bacterial small subunit ribosomal RNA
Source: RNAcentral